Molecule: ribosomal RNA, 530 nt
Filed under: uncultured bacterium
Lineage: Bacteria
Description: bacterial SSU rRNA
Rfam family: Bacterial small subunit ribosomal RNA
Source: RNAcentral
AGAGUUUGAUCAUGGCUCAGAUUGAACGCUGGCGGCAUGCCUAACACAUGCAAGUCGAACGGCAGCACAGAGGAGCUUGCUCCUUGGGUGGCGAGUGGCGGACGGGUGAGUAAUGCAUCGGGAUCUACCCUGACGUGGGGGAUAACCUCGGGAAACCGGGACUAAUACCGCAUACGUCCUACGGGAGAAAGCGGGGGACCUUUUAGGCCUCGCGCGGCAGGACGAACCGAUGUGCGAUUAGCUAGUUGGCGGGGUAAUGGCCCACCAAGGCGACGAUCGCUAGCUGGUCUGAGAGGAUGAUCAGCCACACUGGGACUGAGACACGGCCCAGACUCCUACGGGAGGCAGCAGUGGGGAAUAUUGGACAAUGGGCGCAAGCCUGAUCCAGCAAUGCCGCGUGUGUGAAGAAGGCCUUCGGGUUGUAAAGCACUUUUAUCAGGAGCGAAAUCUGCAUGCUUAAUACGUGUGCAGUCUGACGGUACCUGAGGAAUAAGCACCGGCUAACUUCGUGCCAGCAGCCGCGGUAAUAC